Molecule: ribosomal RNA, 119 nt
Filed under: Pteropus alecto (black flying fox)
Lineage: Eukaryota; Metazoa; Chordata; Mammalia; Chiroptera; Pteropodidae
Source: RNAcentral
GUCUCCGGCCAUGCUACCCUGAACAAGCCCGAUCCCGUCUGACCUCGGAAGCUAAGCAGGGUCGGGCCAGGUUAGUAUUUGGAUUGGAGACCACCUAGGAAGACCAGGUGCUGUAGAUG